RNAcentral lists this ribosomal RNA (749 nucleotides) under uncultured bacterium. RNAcentral describes it as "bacterial SSU rRNA". It matches the Rfam family "Bacterial small subunit ribosomal RNA", at positions 8 to 756 of the family's 1533-position model. The record is from RNAcentral.
AGAGUUUGAUCCUGGCUCAGGAUGAACGCUAGCGGCAGGCCUAAUACAUGCAAGUCGAACGGUAAAUAUGCAGCAAUGUAUAUGAGAGUGACGUACGGGUGCGUAACACGUAUGCAACCUACCCUUUACAGGCGGAUAGCUCGGGGAAACUCGGAUUAACCCGUCAUAAUAUAAUUGAAUGGCAUCAUUUGGUUAUUAAAUCUACGGAGGUAAAGGAUGGGCAUGCGUCUGAUUAGUUAGUUGGCGGUGUAACGGACCACCAAGACGAUGAUCAGUAGGGGAACUGAGAGGUUGAUCCCCCACACUGGCACUGAGAUACGGGCCAGACUCCUACGGGAGGCAGCAGUAGGGAAUAUUGGUCAAUGGAUGGAAGUCUGAACCAGCCAUGCCGCGUGCAGGAAGAAGGCCUUCAGGGUUGUAAACUGCUUUUGCCAGGGGCUAAAAAGCCCAUGCGUGGGAAAUUGAAAGUACCUGGUGAAUAAGCCACGGCUAACUACGUGCCAGCAGCCGCGGUAAUACGUAGGUGGCAAGCGUUGUCCGGAUUUAUUGGGUUUAAAGGGUGCGUAGGCGGCUUUGUAAGUCAGUGGUGAAAUAUGGCAGCUCAACUGUCAAGGUGCCAUUGAUACUGCGGAGCUUGAGUACAGAUGAGGUAGGCGGAAUUGACGGUGUAGCGGUGAAAUGCUUAGAUAUCGUCAAGAACACCUAUAGCGAAAGCAGCUUACUAGGCUGUAACUGACGCUGAGGCACGA